RNAcentral lists this ribosomal RNA (497 nucleotides) under uncultured bacterium. RNAcentral describes it as "partial 16S ribosomal RNA". It matches the Rfam family "Bacterial small subunit ribosomal RNA", at positions 28 to 507 of the family's 1533-position model. The record is from RNAcentral.
GAUGAACGCUGGCGGCGUGCCUAAUACAUGCAAGUCGAGCGAACGGACGAGAAGCUUGCUUCUCUGCUGUUAGCGGCGGACGGGUGAGUAACACGUGGAUAACCUACCUAUAAGACUGGGAUAACUUCGGGAAACCGGAGCUAAUACCGGAUAAUAUUUUGAACGGCAGGGUUCAAAAGAGAAAGACGGUCUUGCUGUCACUUAUAGAUGGAUCCGCGCUGCAUUAGCUAGUUGGUAAGGUAACGGCUUACCAAGGCAACGAUGCAUAGCCGACCUGAGAGGGUGAUCAGCCACACUGGAACUGAGACACGGUCCAGACUCCUACGGGAGGCAGCAGUAGGGAAUCUUCCGCAAUGGGCGAAAGCCUGACGGAGCAACGCCGCGUGAGUGAUGAAGGUCUUCGGAUCGUAAAACUCUGUUAUUAGGGAAGAACAUAUGUGUAUGUAACUGUGCACAUCUUGACGGUACCUAAUCAGAAAGCCACGGCUAACUACGUG